UAAUUCUGGAAUGUCCCGUAAAUGGCCC
RNAcentral lists this small RNA (28 nucleotides) under Bombyx mori (domestic silkworm). RNAcentral's name for it is "ovarian small RNA-19908". The record is from RNAcentral. Lineage: Eukaryota; Metazoa; Arthropoda; Insecta; Lepidoptera; Bombycidae.